Molecule: long non-coding RNA, 724 nt
Organism: Cucurbita pepo subsp. pepo (vegetable marrow)
Lineage: Eukaryota; Viridiplantae; Streptophyta; Magnoliopsida; Cucurbitales; Cucurbitaceae
Source: RefSeq, a predicted model, not a curated record
UUCUUCAGCAAACCACCCGCGCCUUCUCACUUCCUUCUCCCACUCUCUGCAGGUACAGGUUCGAACAAUGGUGGAAGAAGAUUCAUCGUUGAUGGAUUCUAUGAUCUCUUGUUGCAUUGCUUGUUCUUUUGAAUCACUAGCAGAUAAGGAACGUGGUUGCGCGCUUCAAAUGCCACCGCCUGGUCACUCCGGCCUACUGAGAUCUGCGGGAGCUACAUUUUGACCUUCCGACUUGUACCAGAUUUAUUGAUCGUCCUCAGAUAUCUGCCUGCAUUUGGAAUGACAUAAUAUUUCUCGUUUGUUGGGUGGAAUUGGCAAUCGGGAUGUUUUUGGUUGAAGUGUGGUGCUGAUUUUGUUUGUUCUUGAACUGCAAAAUAUCUGUGAUUUUACGCCAUGCCACUGAUUUUGCAAAAUGCAUAUCAUUGGGAUAUUUGCAAGGCAUUCAAGCUCUGAGAAGACAAGAUGUUUAUCUGUUGACGAACUUGUUUCACCAAAACUCCCAUUUCUUGACAGACUUCCGAGUUAGGUGAGGAACCCCUUAGGGAUCUUCUUCAACAUGCCAGCAGUUGUCACGGCAAACGAGGUUCUUUUUCUUUCUCUCUCUAAAAAAGGUUAAAGGGUGUUUGAAAUUGACUCUCAUGGAAUGAUAUUGUCUACUUAGCUCCGAGAUUUGUAGGUACCUAUGAGUAACAGCCUCUCCUAAUCGAGGCUUGACUCAUUUUCU